GACAGAGGGUGCAAACGUUGUUCGGAAUUACUGGGCGUAAAGCGCGUGUAGGCGGCCCGGCAAGUCGGAUGUGAAAACCCGCGGCUCAACCGUGGAAGUGCAUUCGAAACUGCAGGGCUAGAGUCCUGGAGAGGAAGGUGGAAUGCUUGGUGUAGAGGUGAAAUUCGUAGAUAUCAAGCGGAACACCGGUGGCGAAGGCGGCCUUCUGGACAGUGACUGACGCUGAGACGCGGAAGCGUGGGGAGCAAACAGG
Molecule: ribosomal RNA, 253 nt
Filed under: uncultured bacterium
Lineage: Bacteria
Description: partial 16S ribosomal RNA
Rfam family: Bacterial small subunit ribosomal RNA
Source: RNAcentral